RNAcentral lists this ribosomal RNA (519 nucleotides) under uncultured bacterium. Its description in RNAcentral is "partial 16S ribosomal RNA". It matches the Rfam family "Bacterial small subunit ribosomal RNA", at positions 899 to 1397 of the family's 1533-position model. The record is from RNAcentral.
ACUCAAAUGAAUUGACGGGGGUCAGCACAAGCGGUGGAGCAUGUGGUUUAAUUCGAUAAAACGCGCAGAACCUUACCAGUCCUUGACAGUUAAUUCAUUUGGUCUUUUUAAUAAAGAUCAUUUAUUUCCUAUGAAUUAUUUAUUACAGGUGCUGCAUGGCUGUCGUCAGUUCGUGUUGUGAAAUGUUUGGUUAAGUCCUUUUAACGAACGCAACCCUCAUUCUUGUUGCUCUCGAUUUUUUUUUUUAUACGAUUUAAUCGAGCACUCUCGAAAAUUUUUGAUGAAAAUCUUAAGUAAGAGGAUGACGUCAAGUCCUCAUGGCCCUUAUGGACUGGGCUACACAUGUGCUACAAUGGUGAUUACAAAAGGAAGCAAUGAUUCAAGUCGGAGCAAAACCUCAAAAAUCAUCUUAGUUCGGAUUGUUCUCUGCAACUCGAGAAUAUCAAGUUGGAAUCGCUAGUAAUCGUAGAUCAGCACGCUACGGUGAAUAAGUAAACUGACCUUGCACACACCGCCCGU